UGAGGAAUAUUGGUCAAUGGGCGAGAGCCUGAACCAGCCAAGUCGCGUGAGGGAUGACGGUCCUACGGAUUGUAAACCUCUUUUGUCGGGGAACAACAGGAGGCACGUGUGCCUUUGUGAGUGUACCCGAAGAAAAGCAUCGGCUAACUCCGUGCCAGCAGCCGCGGUAAUACGGAGGAUGCGAGCGUUAUCCGGAUUUAUGGGUUUAAAGGGAGCGUAGGCGGGAUGGUAAGUCAGCGGUCAAAUGUCCGUGCCCAACGCGGUCAUGCCGUUGAUACUGCCGUUCUUGAAUACACACAAGGG
This 303-nucleotide ribosomal RNA is filed under the name uncultured Barnesiella sp. RNAcentral describes it as "bacterial SSU rRNA". It matches the Rfam family "Bacterial small subunit ribosomal RNA", at positions 355 to 658 of the family's 1533-position model. The record is from RNAcentral. Lineage: Bacteria; Pseudomonadati; Bacteroidota; Bacteroidia; Bacteroidales; Barnesiellaceae.